RNAcentral lists this long non-coding RNA (2328 nucleotides) under Mus musculus (house mouse). RNAcentral's name for it is "long non-coding RNA chr16:73006420-73008748". The record is from RNAcentral. Lineage: Eukaryota; Metazoa; Chordata; Mammalia; Rodentia; Muridae.
AGAGAGAGAGAGAGAGAGAGAGAGAGAGAGAGAGAGAGAGAGAGAAGGAGAGAGAGAGAAGGAGAGAGAGAGAGACAUUUUACUAGAAUACUACUGUCCUAGACGUUCAACUGAAUCAAAUCCUAAUGCAUGUCAAACAAGCACUAGUAUGAAGCUGUGCCCACAGUCCCUUUUACUAUAUUUAAAAACACAUACAUGUGUCUAUGUGUCUAUGUACUUCAGCUAGACGCUUUUCUCUGUCAUGUUAACCUGAAGAGAAAAAAAAAAAAAAAAAAAAAACAAGAAGAAACCAGGCGAGUAGAUAAUCCAUCUGCUUUUCUUCCGUUACUCAGAAAUGUAGACCAAACACACAUGAAAUAACUAUGAGGAAAUUAACUUUUUUUUUCCUAUCUGGAAUAUCUAGAUUAUCGGGCAAAUGACACGAUCCCUCCAACCAUCCCAUACAACCAGUCCUAUGACCAGAACACAGGAGGGUCUUAUAACAGCUCAGAUCGGGGCAGUAGUACAUCCGGUAAGUAAAACACACACAGGAAAGUGUCGGCCUUUUCUCUUGAAAAGAGAUGAUGGAGGGAGGAUGGGAUAGGGGGGGUUCCAGGAUUGGGUGUGUGUGUGGGGGGGGCUGGUAAAGGGGAUAAUUCUUGAAAUCUAAAUAAAGAAAAUAUCCAAUUUAAAGGGGGAGAGGGGGGCAGUGAUGAGCAGAGUGCUAAUCAGCUGUGUACCACAAAUCAUCACCUUGUAUCAUAGGAGUCCCAGACACAGGUCUGGUCUGCAGUCUGAUGCACCACCCGCCCAAUAAACUACUUCCUAUCCUACUUGGCAUCAAAUAUCAAGCGUUCUGUUUCCUUCUUUGAUACUGAGAUUUAGCAACGUCAAAAGGACAAAAUACUUUUCCAAGGCAGUUAAACUUCUUUUCCUUCCCUUAUUCAGAACACAGCCCCAAAGAGUACAUAUGUGAUAAAUUUGUUAUGUUACCACUUAGUUCUCUCAAGGAGAAGAAUGCCUGAGGAUCGGUGAUCUGGGGGUGAGGGAUGGCAGAAACCUUAGUCCACAUUCUCUCCGAGGUCUCCCAGUUCUUGCUGGAAAACUUAUAAACUUUCCUCCCAGUAUCAUCCUGUCCUGCCUCAGAAGCCACAGUGAGGCUCCCUUCCCUGUGGUUCGGUGUGCGGCUGCAGCUGUCUGCCAGCUGUUUUCCUGAUAGGCGCUGCAGAUGGGGGUUUGCUGGUAGUUAAGUCCUGUUUUUGUAAUUAAAGGCGGUUGAUUAUUAGAGCUAACAUGUGGCAAGUCACACCACAAUGAGAACGGAGCCAUUGAUCUUAAGUGGAGCAUGUUUCUCCAGAACGGGGAAGAACAGAGCCUCCUGGCAACUGCAGGAGUUGUUGCUAGGGUCUUUGUGCCGGUGAGCUCUGUCCUCUUCUCUAAUGAUGCUCACAUCUGCAGUUACCUCUCUUCCCUUAACAGAGGCACGGUGGUGUGGCAUUCCCUAGCCUGUACUUCAAGGGUUCUUAUGUGAAUUACAGGAGAUGAUUCUUUACCAUUUUAGAUUUUAGUUUUUCAGAUUGUACUAAAUACUCUCUUUUCAAAAUCCUAAAUGAUUUUUCCCUUUUCUUCUUCAAAGUAACGAAAUUUCGUGUUUUGAACAAAAUUUUAUGUGUGUAUUUUUUUUUUGGCGGGGGGGAGGAUCAUCACCAGUAUUUAAGUAUUUGAUUAUGAUAUGUCAUUUUUGUCUUUGAACUCUUAGCUGCUUGUAGAGAAAAGCGUAGGUGAUUGAUUCCCCGUUGGCAUCUACAUCCCUCACUGGCGAUGCCCGAUCUUGAUACUUGUGUUGUCACUGGUUAUUCCACGAAUGGUAAAAGGAUGCUAAAACCACGUGACAUCUGAUGCCCGGUGGCAAAAAGCAAAACACAGGAGUGAAAUUGAGGAGGGGGCUGCAGUGUCCAGCGUCACGGGGCAGAUGCUGUUCUUGGGGAAAAUGUACAUGAGGAGAGGCAGAGGAAGACAAGGGUCAAUUUUCCCUUCACGCCCCAUGCCCCAUAGUCCUCCUAGUACAGGCGACUGAGGACGUGAGAGAGCAUGGAGAUGCUGGGACUGACAGUCAGCGUUUAUUGUUAGCCGUCAGCUUGCCCUUCCAUCCAGUUUGAUGCAAUAGCAGACCAGCCCGAGAACAACUGGUAUGACAAACAGUUCCUGUGACGGAGAAGUCCCAAGUGACUUAAAAACAUUUUAAAGGCUCAUUGAAUAAGCUAAAGCCUGCUUCAUCUCCCAUGGGACUUGUUUCAGAGUCAUAAAGAAACAUUAAAGCAAUUCUGGGAUAUUGGGGGCUCAUAUGAG